This is a long non-coding RNA of Carassius carassius (crucian carp), 727 nucleotides long. RefSeq lists it as uncharacterized. Lineage: Eukaryota; Metazoa; Chordata; Actinopteri; Cypriniformes; Cyprinidae. The record is from RefSeq and is a predicted model, not a curated record. The transcript has 3 exons.
ACACACAAAAUGUGUUUUACUCACCCCCAACGAUUCACAAACAAACUCAGUGUGGUUUGCAAAUACAAAACAUCACUCACAAACUAAUGCAUUUUGUUCUGCAAAUAAAAAACGUAGCUAUCAAACAAAUACAGUACGUUUUACAUAUACAAAGAAACGUAUUUCUUCAAUGACAAAAAUAUCCUCCAAGUACAAACUAAAAUCUUUCAAGUACAAAAAAAAUCCUUCAAUUAAAAAAAAAUCCUUCAAGUACAAAACAAAAUUCUACAAGUACGAAAAACUGUCACGUGACUUUUGGCACUAAUUUUUCGCCUUGCUGAUCCACACGCAAAUGCCUUCAGAUCCACACACAUGCUAGUAAACGGUCAUGUAAUUCCGACUUGCUUGGCGCCGCCACCGACAUGGAAACAGAAGAGAAGAAGAAACGCUAGCGUGAGGGACGUUUUGAACACGAUGAGCGGCCAACAGGAACUGCUUGCACAGACAAUGUUAGAGAGAAUCAACACACGGCUCCAGCAUGUUGUCUGUCAGCAACCCCUUGACCUGGAUUACCGUGAAUUUGUGUGUUUUCAGGAGGCUGUUCUUUUUAGUGCUGCCUCUAACCAGGUUCUCAUACCAAAAGGCAUUUUAGAUGCACUCACAGAGCUUCACAAGUUGGUUAAGAAAGAGAAAACCAGGUCCCCAUAGUAAAAAAAAAAAAGAGAAAGAUAUUGUUUUUUUUUUUGGU